CAACGACUCUCGACAACGGAUAUCUCGGCUCUCGCAUCGAUGAAGAACGUAGCGAAAUGCGAUACUUGGUGUGAAUUGCAGAAUCCCGUGAACCAUCGAGUCUUUGAACGCAAGUUGCGCCCGAAGCCCUAGGCUGAGGGCACGUCUGCCUGGGUGUCACGC
This 162-nucleotide ribosomal RNA is filed under the name Kitagawia praeruptora. RNAcentral's name for it is "Peucedanum praeruptorum 5.8S ribosomal RNA". It matches the Rfam family "5.8S ribosomal RNA". From Rfam's summary of the family: 5.8S ribosomal RNA (5.8S rRNA) is a component of the large subunit of the eukaryotic ribosome. Lineage: Eukaryota; Viridiplantae; Streptophyta; Magnoliopsida; Apiales; Apiaceae. The record is from RNAcentral.